This 87-nucleotide transfer RNA is filed under the name Burkholderia ubonensis. Its description in RNAcentral is "tRNA-Leu". It matches the Rfam family "tRNA". From Rfam's summary of the family: Transfer RNA (tRNA) molecules are approximately 80 nucleotides in length. Their secondary structure includes four short double-helical elements and three loops (D, anti-codon, and T loops). Lineage: Bacteria; Pseudomonadati; Pseudomonadota; Betaproteobacteria; Burkholderiales; Burkholderiaceae. The record is from RNAcentral.
GCCCGGGUGGCGGAAUUGGUAGACGCGCCAGCUUCAGGUGCUGGUGGCCGUAAGGCCGUGUGGGUUCGAGUCCCACCCCGGGCACCA